Molecule: ribosomal RNA, 251 nt
Filed under: uncultured bacterium
Lineage: Bacteria
Description: partial 16S ribosomal RNA
Rfam family: Bacterial small subunit ribosomal RNA
Source: RNAcentral
UACAGAGGGUGCAAGCGUUAAUCGGAAUUACUGGGCGUAAAGCGUGCGCAGGCGGUUUUGUAAGUCUGUCGUGAAAUCCCCGGGCUCAACCUGGGAAUUGCGAUGGAGACUGCAAGGCUAGAAUCUGGCAGAGGGGGUAGAAUUCCACGUGUGAGCAGUGAAAUGCGUAGAGAUGUGGAGGAACACCGAUGGCGAAGGCAGCCCCUGGGUCAAGAUUGACGCUCAUGCACGAAAGCGUGGGAGCAACAAGG